RNAcentral lists this long non-coding RNA (268 nucleotides) under Apteryx owenii (little spotted kiwi). RNAcentral describes it as "lncRNA (ENSAOWG00000011876.1)". The record is from RNAcentral. Lineage: Eukaryota; Metazoa; Chordata; Aves; Apterygiformes; Apterygidae.
GGGAGGCGCCGCGCGCCCUGUCAUGGCGCAGCUGCCAGGCCAGCCCAGCCCAGGCCAGCCCAGCCCGCGGCGCGCCCCCUGUCGCGGGCGUGAGGCCAACGUCCUGCCAUGUGACACCUGCCUGCCCGCUCUGGUCCUGCCCUGCAGACACAGCCUUCCUGCCCAGCUGCAGAAACAAUGCUGGCCCCAUUUGAGCCUCCAGCAAUUGCCACAGCUCCCUUUUUCUGUCAUUGUUAAGGCAAUAAUGAAUGCUGAACUCUUUCCAUGA